Molecule: long non-coding RNA, 467 nt
Organism: Micropterus dolomieu (smallmouth bass)
Lineage: Eukaryota; Metazoa; Chordata; Actinopteri; Centrarchiformes; Centrarchidae
Exons: 3
Source: RefSeq, a predicted model, not a curated record
CCUGACGAGCGAAGCGGUCAGACCGGAGGUAAAAUCUGCGUGGCUUUUCAACGAUAGUCACUGACAACUAAGGAACACAGAGGGGCUGAGAAGUUGCACCGUGGUGGCUUUAUUUCUGCUGGACAGGUCACCUGCAGUCUUCCAACACCCUGUGCUUCUCACCAGUAUACGCUGAUCAGACCAUGCUGGCUGGCCUGGAUUACAACCACUGUGUCCACAGACCAGCCAGGAGAAAGCUGACACAGUUCAGUACAGCAAAGUGUACAACAAAGAGUCCAGGAAGUGGAGCUUGUACUCAUUGAAGGUGGAAAAGGACUAAAGUUACAUCGCAGAACUCCUAGAGUGCCAGCUGCCGCCUCCUCCUCCAGUUGUCUACUACUGAGAUGCCUAGAAGCAGAACCAGGAGACCUGAUGAUCCCCGUCAACAUGGGGUUCAGUCAGGUGUCCCUGUUGCUAGAUACAGCAAA